RNAcentral lists this transfer RNA (73 nucleotides) under Felis catus (domestic cat). It matches the Rfam family "tRNA". From Rfam's summary of the family: Transfer RNA (tRNA) molecules are approximately 80 nucleotides in length. Lineage: Eukaryota; Metazoa; Chordata; Mammalia; Carnivora; Felidae. The record is from Rfam by way of RNAcentral. RNAcentral also lists the same sequence under 3 other names.
ACCUGGCUGGUUCAAUCAGUAGAGCAUGAGUCUCUUGAUCUCGGGGUUGUGAGUUCAAGCCCCACGUUGGGCA